AUACGGAGGGUCCGAGCGUUGUUCGGAAUAACUGGGCGUAAAGCGCACGUAGGCGGAUUGAUCAGUUAGAGGUGAAAUCCCAGGGCUCAACCCUGGAACUGCCUUUAAUACUGUCAGUCUAGAGAUCGAGAGAGGUGAGUGGAAUUCCGAGUGUAGAGGUGAAAUUCGUAGAUAUUCGGAGGAACACCAGUGGCGAAGGCGGCUCACUGGCUCGAUACUGACGCUGAGGUGCGAAAGCGUGGGGAGCAAACAGGAUUAGAAACCCGGGUAGUCC
RNAcentral lists this ribosomal RNA (274 nucleotides) under uncultured bacterium. Its description in RNAcentral is "partial 16S ribosomal RNA". It matches the Rfam family "Bacterial small subunit ribosomal RNA", at positions 523 to 796 of the family's 1533-position model. The record is from RNAcentral.